RNAcentral lists this microRNA (21 nucleotides) under Capra hircus (goat). Its description in RNAcentral is "chi-miR-2284a". Lineage: Eukaryota; Metazoa; Chordata; Mammalia; Artiodactyla; Bovidae. The record is from miRBase by way of RNAcentral.
UAAAAGUUCGUUGGGGUUUUU